CUGCUUUUACUUUUUGUAUGGAGCUGGGAGCGUCUGCCUGUUGGACGCCCGAAGAGCGUCAGGUUUGAUCCUUGGUAUGCAGAUGAACAUGACGAAUUACGGCGCCCCACGUGGGCUUACAAGUGGGAUAUCGUUUCCGAGAUGACGAACGAUGUCAAUCUCAUGUACCAAAAGUACAUUGCCGAGUUGGACACGAUUACGCCUGAGCAGGUAAGGAGGUCAUUACUUUAG
This 231-nucleotide ribosomal RNA is filed under the name Triticum aestivum (bread wheat). RNAcentral describes it as "partial small subunit ribosomal RNA". Lineage: Eukaryota; Viridiplantae; Streptophyta; Magnoliopsida; Poales; Poaceae. The record is from RNAcentral.